Molecule: ribosomal RNA, 302 nt
Filed under: uncultured bacterium
Lineage: Bacteria
Description: partial 16S ribosomal RNA
Rfam family: Bacterial small subunit ribosomal RNA
Source: RNAcentral
UAGGGAAUCUUCGGCAAUGGGGGCAACCCUGACCGAGCAACGCCGCGUGAGUGAAGAAGGUUUUCGGAUCGUAAAGCUCUGUUGUAAGUCAAGAACGGGUGUGAGAGUGGAAAGUUCACACUGUGACGGUAGCUUACCAGAAAGGGACGGCUAACUACGUGCCAGCAGCCGCGGUAAUACGUAGGUCCCGAGCGUUGUCCGGAUUUAUUGGGCGUAAAGCGAGCGCAGGCGGUUUGAUAAGUCUGAAGUUAAAGGCUGUGGCUCAACCAUAGUUCGCUUUGGAAACUGUCAACUUGNGUGCA